Molecule: ribosomal RNA, 253 nt
Filed under: uncultured bacterium
Lineage: Bacteria
Description: partial 16S ribosomal RNA
Rfam family: Bacterial small subunit ribosomal RNA
Source: RNAcentral
UACGAAGGGGGCUAGCGUUGUUCGGAAUGACUGGGCGUAAAGGGCGCGUAGGCGGCUUUUUAAGUCAGGCGUGAAAGCCCUGGGCUCAACCCAGGAACGGCGCUUGAUACUGAGGGGCUGGAGGACGGGAGAGGAUGGUGGAAUUCCCAGUGUAGAGGUGAAAUUCGUAGAUAUUGGGAAGAACACCGGUGGCGAAGGCGGCCAUCUGGACCGUUUCUGACGCUGAGGCGCGAAAGCGUGGGGAGCAAACAGG